ACUCCUACGGGAGGCAGCAGUAGGGAAUCUUCCGCAAUGGGCGAAAGCCUGACGGAGCAACGCCGCGUGAGUGAUGAAGGUUUUCGGAUCGUAAAGCUCUGUUGCCAGGGAAGAACGUCUUGUAGAGUAACUGCUACAAGAGUGACGGUACCUGAGAAGAAAGCCCCGGCUAACUACGUGCCAGCAGCCGCGGUAAU
This 197-nucleotide ribosomal RNA is filed under the name uncultured bacterium. RNAcentral describes it as "partial 16S ribosomal RNA". It matches the Rfam family "Bacterial small subunit ribosomal RNA", at positions 335 to 524 of the family's 1533-position model. The record is from RNAcentral.